UUAUCUGAACCUUCGGGGRACGAUAACGGCGUCGAGCGGCGGACGGGUGAGUAAUGCCUAGGAAAUUGCCCUGAUGUGGGGGAUAACCAUUGGAAACGAUGGCUAAUACCGCAUAAUGCCUACGGGCCAAAGAGGGGGACCUUCGGGCCUCUCGCGUCAGGAUAUGCCUAGGUGGGAUUAGCUAGUUGGUGAGGUAAUGGCUCACCAAGGCGACGAUCCCUAGCUGGUCUGAGAGGAUGAUCAGCCACACUGGAACUGAGACACGGUCCAGACUCCUACGGGAGGCAGCAGUGGGGAAUAUUGCACAAUGGGCGCAAGCCUGAUGCAGCCAUGCCGCGUGUGUGAAGAAGGCCUUCGGGUUGUAAAGCACUUUCAGUCGUGAGGAAGGUAGUGUAGUUAAUAGCUGCAUUACUUGACGUUAGCGACAGAAGAAGCACCGGCUAACUCCGUGCCAGCAGCCGCGGUAAUACGGAGGGUGCGAGCGUUAAUCGGAAUUACUGGGCGUAAAGCGCAUGCAGGUGGUUUGUUAAGUCAGAUGUGAAAGCCCGGGGCUCAACCUCGGAAUAGCAUUUGAAACUGGCAGACUAGAGUACUGUAGAGGGGGGUAGAAUUUCAGGUGUAGCGGUGAAAUGCGUAGAGAU
RNAcentral lists this ribosomal RNA (641 nucleotides) under Vibrio sp. Its description in RNAcentral is "bacterial SSU rRNA". Lineage: Bacteria; Pseudomonadati; Pseudomonadota; Gammaproteobacteria; Vibrionales; Vibrionaceae. The record is from RNAcentral.